Molecule: long non-coding RNA, 713 nt
Organism: Populus nigra (black poplar)
Lineage: Eukaryota; Viridiplantae; Streptophyta; Magnoliopsida; Malpighiales; Salicaceae
Exons: 2
Source: RefSeq, a predicted model, not a curated record
UUAUUAUUAUUAUUAUUAUUUUGUUUCCUUGUACAUUUGUAGUGCCUAUAAUUAUAAGCUACAUAUUUGGUAAUACAUGUAGCAAAAUCCGAGUAAAAUCGCGUUCUUCAAGCCUAGAAACAAUGAGCUAUAACAUGAGAGCUUGGGUUGUGACUGUGUUGGUUGUUCUGGUAGCUUCAAAUGCUUUUAUAUGUGAUGUUAAUGCGGCCGGAGAGUGUGGGAAGACACCAAUCAGGUCAGCAGCUGCGAGCUUGAGCCCAUGCUUGGGAGCGGCAGGGAAUGCAAGGGCCGCUGUGCCACCAGCUUGCUGCUCCAAAGUUGCUGCCUUGAUCAAGACAGCUCCAAAAUGUCUUUGUGCUGUUCUGUUGUCAGUUGUCACCUUUGGCAAAGCAAGCUGGAAUCAAACCAGGAAUUGCCAUCACCAUUCCAAAGCGUUGCAGCAUUAAAAACAGACAAGCUGGAAAGAAGUGUGGAAAGUACACGCUCCCAUGAGCAUGACGGAAGUCCGAGCAUAGACGGCAGGGAAACAGCAAACCCCACGCGAGAAGAACAGAGAGUGUGUUAAUAAGAGCUGCCAUUGAGGGUCAGGUUCUGCUAUAUAACCACUGACCCGUUAGAAUUGAAGGUGGCAGCACCAGCAGUUGUUUUUGAUGUUGUUUGUAGCUUCAUAUGUGUGCUACAAUCAAAAUCUCUUUAUAUAAAAUCAUCUGCUA